GCAUUAUACCGUGAAACUGCGAAUGGCUCAUUAAAUCAGUUAUCGUUUAUUUGAUAAUCCCUUACUACUUGGAUAACCGUGGUAAUUCUAGAGCUAAUACAUGCUGAAAAUCCCGACUUCGGAAGGGAUGUGUUUAUUAGAUAAAAAACCAAUGCCCUUCGGGGCUUUUUGGUGAUUCAUGAUAACUUUACGGAUCGCAUAGCCUUGCGCUGGCGACGGUUCAUUCAAAUUUCUGCCCUAUCAACUUUCGAUGGUAAGGUAUUGGCUUACCAUGGUUUCAACGGGUAACGGGGAAUUAGGGUUCGAUUCCGGAGAGGGAGCCUGAGAAACGGCUACCACAUCCAAGGAAGGCAGCAGGCGCGCAAAUUACCCAAUCCCGACACGGGGAGGUAGUGACAAUAAAUACUGAUACAGGGCUCUUUUGGGUCUUGUAAUUGGAAUGAGUACAAUUUAAACCUCUUAACGAGGAACAAUUGGAGGGCAAGUCUGGUGCCAGCAGCCGCGGUAAUUCCAGCUCCAAUAGCGUAUAUUAAAGUUGUUGCAGUUAAAAAGCUCGUAGUUGAAACUUGGGCCUGGCUGGCGGGUCCGCCUCACCGCGUGCACUCGUCCGGCCGGGCCUUCCUUCUGAAGAACCUCAUGCCCUUCACUGGGCGUGCUGGGGAAUCAGGACUUUUACUUUGAAAAAAUUAGAGUGUUCAAAGCAGGCCUUUGCUCGAAUACGUUAGCAUGGAAUAAUAAAAUAGGGCGUGCGUUUCUAUUUUGUUGGUUUCUAGAGACGCCGCAAUGAUUAACAGGAACAGUCGGGGGCAUCAGUAUUCAGUUGUCAGAGGUGAAAUUCUUGGAUUUACUGAAGACUAACUACUGCGAAAGCAUUUGCCAAGGAUGUUUUCAUUAAUCAGUGAACGAAAGUUAGGGGAUCGAAGACGAUCAGAUACCGUCGUAGUCUUAACCGUAAACUAUGCCGACUAGGGAUCGGGCGAUGUUCUUUUUCUGACUCGCUCGGCACCUUACGAGAAAUCAAAG
This 1023-nucleotide ribosomal RNA is filed under the name Alternaria alternata. Its description in RNAcentral is "SSU rRNA". It matches the Rfam family "Eukaryotic small subunit ribosomal RNA", at positions 71 to 1103 of the family's 1831-position model. The record is from RNAcentral. Lineage: Eukaryota; Fungi; Ascomycota; Dothideomycetes; Pleosporales; Pleosporaceae.